This 341-nucleotide ribosomal RNA is filed under the name uncultured Pseudomonas sp. RNAcentral's name for it is "bacterial SSU rRNA". It matches the Rfam family "Bacterial small subunit ribosomal RNA", at positions 1040 to 1382 of the family's 1533-position model. The record is from RNAcentral. Lineage: Bacteria; Pseudomonadati; Pseudomonadota; Gammaproteobacteria; Pseudomonadales; Pseudomonadaceae.
GCUAGCGUUGUCGUCAGCUCGUGUCGUGAGAUGUUGGGUUAAGUCCCGUAACGAGCGCAACCCUUGUCCUUAGUUACCAGCACGUUAUGGUGGGCACUCUAAGGAGACUGCCGGUGACAAACCGGAGGAAGGUGGGGAUGACGUCAAGUCAUCAUGGCCCUUACGGCCUGGGCUACACACGUGCUACAAUGGUCGGUACAAAGGGUUGCCAAGCCGCGAGGUGGAGCUAAUCCCAUAAAACCGAUCGUAGUCCGGAUCGCAGUCUGCAACUCGACUGCGUGAAGUCGGAAUCGCUAGUAAUCGUGAAUCAGAAUGUCACGGUGAAUACGUUCCCGGGCCUU